Molecule: ribosomal RNA, 497 nt
Filed under: uncultured bacterium
Lineage: Bacteria
Description: partial 16S ribosomal RNA
Rfam family: Bacterial small subunit ribosomal RNA
Source: RNAcentral
GAUGAACGCUGGCGGCGUGCCUAAUACAUGCAAGUCGAGCGAACGGACGAGAAGCUUGCUUCUCUGAUGUUAGCGGCGGACGGGUAAGUAACACGUGGAUAACCUACCUAUAAGACUGGGAUAACUUCGGGAAACCGGAGCUAAUACCGGAUAAUAUUUUGAACCGCAUGGUUCAAAAGUGAAAGACGGUCUUGCUGUCACUUAUAGAUGGAUCCGCGCUGCAUUAGCUAGUUGGUAAGGUAACGGCUUACCAAGGCAACGAUGCAUAGCCGACCUGAGAGGGUGAUCGGCCACACUGGAACUGAGACACGGUCCAGACUCCUACGUGAGGCAGCAGUAGGGAAUCUUCCGCAAUGGGCGAAAGCCUGACGGAGCAACGCCGCGUGAGUGAUGAAGGUCUUCGGAUCGUAAAACUCUGUUAUUAGGGAAGAACAUAUGUGUAAGUAACUGUGCACAUCUUGACGGUACCUAAUCAGAAAGCCACGGCUAACUACGUG